Molecule: ribosomal RNA, 376 nt
Filed under: Candidatus Binatota bacterium
Lineage: Bacteria; Candidatus Binatota
Description: partial 23S ribosomal RNA
Rfam family: Bacterial large subunit ribosomal RNA
Source: RNAcentral
AGGUCCCAAGGGUUCGGCUGUUCGCCGAUUAAAGUGGCACGCGAGCUGGGUUCAGAACGUCGUGAGACAGUUCGGUCCCUAUCCGCUGUGGGCGUAGGAUACUUGAAAGGAGCUGUCCCUAGUACGAGAGGACCGGGAUGGACACACCUCUGGUGUUCCGGUUGUCACGCCAGUGGCAUUGCCGGGUAGCUACGUGUGGACGGGAUAACCGCUGAAAGCAUAUAAGCGGGAAGCCCCCCUUGAGAUUAGGUAUCCCUGGGCUUUAGAGCCCCUGAAGACCCCUCGUAGACGACGAGGUUGAUAGGCCGGGUGUGGAAGCGCAGCAAUGCGUGGAGCUAACCGGUACUAAUCGGUCGUGAGGCUUGAUCUUCUUUUU